AGACGCAGUUUGGCGGCUGUGGGGAUUUGCCGGAAGGUUAAUAAUGUCCAUGGGCACAUCGGCCUCCUCCUUUCUUAUUCUCUCCCAAGUGUAAUUCCAGGACGCCCCCUGAGCGCAGAUUCAUCCAGGCAUUUGGCCUAGAGGCCCGCGGAGGAGAAAUAAAGUACAGGCCUGGUAGGACCUUUGAGAACCUGGGCUUCAGCUACAAAACCAGAGCCCCAGUCCUUCAUCUGCUGUCUCCUCAAGCUCUUUUCAGUGUAUUGUGGAGUUCAUUACCACUCUAAGCUCGCACGGAAGUGUACACCAGCUUCGUGAUCUUAAAAGCAAAACAAAAUCAAAUGGACUAGGAAUUAACUUGAAGCAGAGUUGUGACACUUAAGUGGUUUCUUGCCAUCAGUUUCCACGCACUGCUUUAAGAUGCAAUUUUACAAGGUAGAGUUUUUUAGAUAAUUUGACCUCAAGAAAUAUAUUAAUUUUGUCUUUAAGUUGAACGAAGUAAAAUGUUUUUAAUAUUUUAAAAUAUUAAUUGAUACAAUUUAACUGUUAAUAAUGCCUGUGUGUAAAUGAAAGGAAUAGGAAAGAUGGAACUAAAACUAAAAACCAGGAGGUUUAAAGGAGACCUUAGAUUUGACUUAGUAGAUUUCAACUAUUUUCUAAAACUCUGAAAAUUCAUUAUAUCUAAUUAUUUCUAAUUUUCCAGUAAAAUCUGAAUGCCUCACAAGAGAUUCCUGAAAAUUUAUCAGCUCCCAAGAGCUGGUGUAGGCUAGCUCCAUCACACCACUAGGAGUUACCAUUGGGGUUGCCUGGAAAGGGAAAACAACACAUCUUCUGGUGUACCAGAAAUGUUCUGUCUUCUGCUCUUUCUGGGUGUGUUCAAAAAUUCAUGAAGGCAGGCUGGGCGUGGUGGCUCGCACCUGUAAUCCCAGCACUUUGGGAGCCUGAGGCAGUGCAUCACUCGAGGUCAGGAGUUCGAGACUAGCCUGGCCAACAUGGUGAAACCCCAUCUCUACUAAAAAUACAAAAAUUAGCCGGGCGUGAUGGCGGGUGCCUGUAAUCCCAGCUACUUAGGAGGCUGAGGCAGGAGAAUCACUUGAACCCAGGAGGUGGAGGUUGCAGUGAGCCGAGAUUGUGCCAUUGCGCUCCAGCCUGGGCAACAGAGCGAGACUCCAUCUAAAAAAGAAAAAAAAAAAAAAACAUGAAGGCAUAUGCUUAUUUAUGCACUUUUCAGUAUGUGUGUUUUAUGUCAGUAACAAAGAAAAUGUACAUAUAAAUGAUCAGAUUUAUUAAGCUUUCCACCAACAAUUUUUUAUUUUUUAAAGUUGGCAAUAAAAUUAAGAAAGUAGUUUAGAAAGAAUUGAAUUGCUAAAUUCCAAAUCUCCCAAAACCGUUGUAAAUGAAAGGGAUAGGAAAGAUAGAACUAAAAGUCAGGAGAGAUUAAAGAAGACCUUAGAUUUGACAAAGCCAAUUUCAGUUAUUUUCUAGAACCCUGAAAAUAGAUUACAUCUAGUCAUUUCUAAUUUUGUUGGUAAAAUCUUAACGGUCAAGUUGUCAAGUUAGCAUACAUUAGCAAAACUCUCAGCAUGAGUCUAGCCAAAAGUUCACCAUUCAUAUCUGUGGCCUUAAUAGCACAGCUAAGAACCACAGAAAAGUUAUCAGUGCUGACAAUGUAAAGCAAAGAAGUUUAAAAAGUUAAUAAAUUUAAGCAUGUAAUAUCAAAUUUUGCAGUGGUUUGAGUCUGUGACAUGAAUCGAUUAUUCUUUGAAAACAAACAAUACUUAUGAAUAGAGAGGAACUUUUUCAUCUGAUGAAGGACAUCUGUGAACUAUCUCCAGCUAACAUCAUUUUCAAUAGUGAAAAAUUGAUUUUUCCUUAAGAUUGGAAGGAGGCAAGGAUAUUUGCUCUCACUAUGUCUAUUCAGUAUUAUACUGGAGGUCUUAACAAGUGCAAUAAGGCAAGAAAAAGAAAUAAAGGCAUAAUGAUUUCAAUGAAAGAAAUAAAGCUGUAUUCCCAGACAACAUACAAUUUCCAGACAUCUACAAUGAAAACUAUAUAACAUUACUGAGAGAAAUUAAAGAAGAUCCAAAUUAAUGGAGAUUAUGUACCAUAUUAAUGGAUUAGAAGACCCA
This 2126-nucleotide long non-coding RNA is filed under the name Homo sapiens (human). Its description in RNAcentral is "non-protein coding lnc-EPC1-3:5". The record is from RNAcentral. Lineage: Eukaryota; Metazoa; Chordata; Mammalia; Primates; Hominidae.